Molecule: unclassified non-coding RNA, 296 nt
Filed under: uncultured Dothideomycetes
Lineage: Eukaryota; Fungi; Ascomycota; Dothideomycetes
Description: sequence contains ITS1
Rfam family: 5.8S ribosomal RNA (bases 1-105)
Source: RNAcentral
GAAAUGCGAUAAGUAGUGUGAAUUGCAGAAUUCAGUGAAUCAUCGAAUCUUUGAACGCACAUUGCGCCCCUUGGUAUUCCAUGGGGCAUGCCUGUUCGAGCGUCAUUUGUACCCUCAAGCUUUGCUUGGUGUUGGGUGUUUGUCCUCUCUGGAGGACUCGCCUUAAAACAAUUGGCAGCCGGCAUAUUGGUAUCGGAGCGCAGCACAAGUCGCGCUUCUUUCCAUGAAUGUCAGCAUCCAUCAAGACAAUUUUCACUCUUGACCUCGGAUCAGGUAGGGAUACCCGCUGAACUUAA